This 1117-nucleotide non-coding RNA is filed under the name Pan troglodytes (chimpanzee). The record is from RNAcentral. Lineage: Eukaryota; Metazoa; Chordata; Mammalia; Primates; Hominidae.
AUAAGAGCUAGGACAGGAGGAGCCGCAGAGCUCGUAAUUGCUGUGGGGAGGACAGGCCAGCUCUGGAAGAAAACAGACAGGGCCUUGCUCUGUUGCCCAGGCCAAGUGCAAUGGCAUGAUCUCAGCUCACUGCAGCCUCCCGAUUGUUCUCGAUGAAACUUUUAACCACGUGGUUUGUUAUGCAUGUCACACCCACAGGCCACUUCAAACUUGCAGCACACAGUGAGCAACUCGGACGAUUUAGGGUCCAGUGCUGGGAGGUGGACCUGGGUCCCGUUAACCUGGACAGACACCUCCAAGAUGAGCGUGAGGGGGCUGCUGGAUCUGUUCUCCUUUCACGGCUGUAUCCUGAAGAAUGGCAGUGAGCUGGAAGAGCCACAGGAUUCGGCAAAGACGGACACACAGCUGAGUCCGGCUACCCUGGCGUUGGAGCGCGAGGAGCACAGCAGCCGCCACGUCCCUUCCGUCUUGUCAAAGACCAUGAGCCGAGCGUCCGCAGAGCUGACCUGCACUGCAGGGCGACAGGGCCCGGGGCCGCCUGGGUCCCACAGCCAGGUUCCCCACAUGCUUCCCCAGCCGGAGCCCCUCCUGGCCUGUGCUCCAGCCAUGUGGUGUAGACGUGAACCCCAGCCCAUCGGAGGGUUGCAGCCCCCACAUCUGCGAUUGCAUCUGGAAUCAUGACUCGAGGACUUUUUUUUUUUUAAGACAGGGUCUCGCUCUGUUGCCCAGGCUGGAGUGUAGUGGUGUGAUCUUGGCUCACUGUAGCCUUGACCUCCCAGACUCAAGAAAUCCUCCUACCUCAACCUCCUGAGUAGCUGGGACCACAGGCGUGCACCACCACACCUGGCUAAUUUUUUUGUUUGUUUGUUUGUUUUUUUGUAGAGACGGGUCUUGCCAUGUUGCCCAGGCGGGUCUUGAACUCCUGGGCUCAAGCAAUCUUCCUGCCUCUGCCUCCUAAAAUGCUGGGAUUACAGGUGGGAUUACAGAGCACCAUGGCACUCUGCCAGACUCAAGGACUCAGGUCGGACCAAUCAACAGCAGCCUUGAGGCUGUGGCCAGCCCCUCCGCGAACCAGGGGAACUUCACUCUCCAUUAGAAGUCCUAAGUUGGCUGCUUA